RNAcentral lists this ribosomal RNA (1053 nucleotides) under Triticum aestivum (bread wheat). Its description in RNAcentral is "partial small subunit ribosomal RNA". Lineage: Eukaryota; Viridiplantae; Streptophyta; Magnoliopsida; Poales; Poaceae. The record is from RNAcentral.
AUGGCCCGUGUAGCGGAGCAAAAACUCCAGCCUAGUUGCCUCGGUGACGCGCUGACGGCGAGGAACGAUGCCGACAACCUCACCGAGCUCAUCCCGUCGCUGCCCGUCGAGAAGCGGCUAGUGCCGCCGCCCGCCGACAUGCAGAGGCGACAGUACCGUGGGUACUGGUUCCCCGAGUGGCACCUGUCGGCCCUGGCGGCAGUCCGCGAUCACUUCGAGCCCAAGCCAACGGACAUCUUCCUCGUGAGCUGCCCCAAGUCUGGCACCACAUGGCUUAAAUCUCUAGCCUUCGCCACUGUGCACCGGCACGUCCACCCGCCAUCCAGCCAGGAGCACCCUCUGCUCCACCAAAACCCGCAUGGCUGCGUCAAAUUCAUCCACGCAAUCUAUCGGCAACCGGUCGAUGUUGUGCAGGGCAUCAUCGAGGCGUACCCUUCCCCGCGUAUCUUCGGCUCCCACUUCCCAUUGUCCUUGUUGCCGGAGCGCAUCAAUGAUGAUGAUUGCGGGUGCCGGAUCGUAUACAUCUGUCGGGAUCCCAAGGACGUGGUCGUCUCGUGGUGGUGGUUCAUGCGCACCUACCUCCCAAACCCCGAGCAGGUCCAGUUCGAGGAGGUCUUCGAUUUGUUUUGCGAGGGCCGCACAGGUGCGGGCCCUUAUUGGCGCCACGCCCUCGAGCAUUGGGAGGAGAGCCGGAGAAGGCCCCACAAGGUGUUGUUCCUCAGGUACGAGGAGAUGCUACGAGACCCGCAAUGCAAUCUUAGGAGGCUGGCGGAGUUUUUGGGGUGCGCAUUCUCCGAGGCGGAGGAGAAGGCCGGCGUCCUAGAGGCCAUCUUGGAGUUGUGCAGCCUUGGCAAGCUAAAGAAGCUGGAGGUGAACCAGAGCGGCAACCGGAUUAAUGACGAACCCAUGAUGAACGAUUCCUUCUUCAGGAAGGGGGUGGCCGGUGACUGGAUCAACCACAUGACGCCAGAGAUGGCGGCAAGGCUCGAUGCAAUCGUCGAACAGGCGCUGCAAGGCACCGGAUUUGACUUCGGCAUCUCCAUGCCACAGUAA